CAGAGAUUGGAUCAAUAACAGUUUACAGGCUGACGGUUCAUUCUUAGGAACUCCAGGGAGAGGAAGUCACCAUGAGGCAGGAAGAAGGUGGAUUAACCUUCAGAAAGUAAAAGCCUGUGAUGAAACCUUUGUCACUAAUCAGAGGAAACACAUGCAACACUGCAACAAAGAACCAGGGUUGAAGCUGAACCAGGAGCUUCUUGCUGUUGUCUUCCUGCCUGGACUUUACUAGUCUGUGUGUUUGUGCCAGUAGAAACCAUAUCUGGAUGAGAGGGUGGAGCUGGGGAGGAGGGAGGAGGGAGGAGGGAGGGGUAGAUCUGACCUGUGUCCUCGAGGACACCAGGUAAACCCACCUGCAUCGGCAGCCUGACAGCAACAGGCUCCUGGCUGAGCCGUGCUAAGAUGCUGCUAACACGGUUAGCUGUCACAACUGUUACAUUAGUCUUACAGGCUAAUAUCAUAUAUGUGAGGAGUAACUUGCUAUUGUAGUUGUAGUUAGCAUGUGUGCUAACGUUAAACUGUAAAACAACGUGCAGCAUUGUGUGGCUAUUUCUAUGUUAGCUUUAAUCAACGACAUAAAUACUAGAAAUAUUUAAAUGACAACACUGACAAUGAAGGAUAAAAAAAACAUGCUGAUGUCAAUUGGUAAAUACUUUCACCUGUGGAGGUGGUGACAGUGCUAGAGAUGAUCCAUCACUUAAUCACUGUUUAAUAUUUAUAAAUCCUGAUCUUUAAAGUGUUGCUACCAUCACCUGUCAACAACAGCAGAAGUGAAGCUGCAGGUAAGAAACUGAACCUGUGAAUACUGAAGACAGAUUAAUAAACUAACUCAUCAGCAGUUAGUCUGUCAUUUCAUCAGAGGAAGAUGAACUGGGAGGUUUUCUAGCAUCAUCAUCAUCAUCAUCAUCAUCAUCACAGCACAUCAGAGAACUAAGGAUGUCCAUGCAGUCUCCCUUCAACCAGAUGAAUGGAAACUAAUGUGCUGCUCUGUACAUGAGCUCCUCCUUCUGUUGGCACAGAUCACUCAGUUUUCACAGUGUGGAAACC
Seriola aureovittata is the source of this 1047-nucleotide long non-coding RNA. RefSeq lists it as uncharacterized. The record is from RefSeq and is a predicted model, not a curated record. The transcript is spliced from 2 exons. NCBI's taxonomy places the organism in Eukaryota, Metazoa, Chordata, Actinopteri, Carangiformes, Carangidae.